This 396-nucleotide ribosomal RNA is filed under the name uncultured bacterium. RNAcentral describes it as "bacterial SSU rRNA". It matches the Rfam family "Bacterial small subunit ribosomal RNA", at positions 28 to 428 of the family's 1533-position model. The record is from RNAcentral.
GACGAACGCUGGCGGCGUGCUUAACACAUGCAAGUCGAGCGGUAAGGCCCUUUCGGGGGUACGACGAGCGGCGAACGGGUGAGUAACACGUGGGUGACCUGCCCUCAGCUCUGGGAUAAGCCCGGGAAACUGGGUCUAAUACCGGAUAUGACUCCAUGACGCAUGUUGUGGGGUGGAAAGCCUUGUGCGGCUGAGGAUGGGCCCGCGGCCUAUCAGCUUGUUGGUGGGGUGAUGGCCUACCAAGGCGACGACGGGUAGCCGGCCUGAGAGGGCGACCGGCCACACUGGGACUGAGAUACGGCCCAGACUCCUACGGGAGGCAGCAGUGGGGAAUCUUGCGCAAUGGGCGAAAGCCUGACGCAGCGACGCCGCGUGAGGGAUGACGGCCUCGUGUAA